Molecule: small nuclear RNA, 110 nt
Filed under: Echinops telfairi (small Madagascar hedgehog)
Lineage: Eukaryota; Metazoa; Chordata; Mammalia; Afrosoricida; Tenrecidae
Source: RNAcentral
GUGCUCGCUUCGGCAGCACAUAUACUAAAAAUUGGAACGAUACAGAGAAGAUUAGCAUGGCCCCCUGCGCAAGGGAUGACACGCAAAUUCAUGAAGCGUUCCAUAUUUAA